UUAGCAUCAAAGAUCCUUUAGCAGAGCUCUGCUAUAGGAUCUUUGGUUAGUAUUUGAAUAUCUACCGCGCAUCGCGCUGUCACAAAUGGAAGGUUACUUUUCAGCAAAUUCAUUCAAAAGCAUGAUGUCAUUUUUCACGGGUCCAGUUCAUCCCAAGUGUUGCUCUAUUCCAUGUUUUUAGAAGUUAUAACACAAUAUCUAAUAAAAUACAAUAACAUGCAAGUAACAUAUCCAAGCAAUAUGGGAAGACUUGAAACCAUUGUUUUAGACCCCCACUAGCUUGAAUCUCUAACCAUUCCAGAAAAUUAACCCAAGCUGGGUCAGAUCAUUUGCAAUUUUUGCAUUGUGUUAACAGAGGGUUAUGUUUUAACCAUAUUGCUGUUCCACUACUUAAGUCAACUAUUUCAAUGUCCAUAAUGCCACCUAGCUCCAUUCCAUUUCAGUUUCUGGGAUACUGAUAACAUAAUCACAAGUGUGUUGAUUGUGCUAAUAACACCUUUCCAUGUUCUACCCAAACUGAAUAUUUUUCAAAUAUUAUUAAAAAAUACAGCUUGACAUGUGAUUCUUCAAAACUUUGCUUGCACUGGGUCUUGCUCUAACAACACCCCAUCUCUAACAACACCCCAAGUCUUCCUAUUGUUUGUGUUUGUGCCCACGAUCUCUAUGUGUGGCCGUCUCCGUAUGUGUGUGUCAAUCUGGUUAAAAUCUGGUUAAUUCCUAUCUUCUUCCUAACGCUUGGCCAUAGCUUUCCCAUUUUCACAUAUCAUACUCACAUGUUUCCCAUGGUCGCCAUAAAUAUCUUCCCGUCGCAUUUCCACCUUUAUUUUCGAAGUUCCAGCCUUUUAAAAUACCCAAAACCAAGUUUUUAAACCCACUAACAAAAUACUGAAUAGUGGAAGUUGGGAAGAUACGGCAGGUAAAUCUCAUAAAUAAUUGGAAAAUACUUUUAUUUGCUGACUGGGUCAAUCAAAAGCAUUUGUCAGAUUGAAAGGCAUACAACUGACUCUUCUUGCAAAUCUAUGUUGGUUGUUGAUUUAACAGCACUGAAGCCGCACUUGCUCUCUGGAUAAACAUGUUCAAAUAAGUACUUGCAGUUUUUUAAAGAAAGACCCAUAUGGAUAUUGUGUCAGCAACACCAAGGGGUGAAAUUCCACUACAGUUGUUGUAAUUGUUUGAUUUCCAAGUAAAAAGCAAAGUCAACUUCUGCCACGAAGAACUUAUUUUCACUCAAGUAUACCUUAUUGCACAGUGAAAUUAAACUGACCAAUUUUCCCAAUAGGUUUUUGGUGCUGGUUUGUGAUGAACUUAAAUUGGCCACCAUUCCAAAGAAAAUAACAAUUAACAUCACAGGUGUCAGUAUUGUUUUUGGUGUACAAUAUUGUAUUCAAGUUUCAUAAGCACAUGAAAGUGCUAUUUAAGGAGGACAUUAAAACUUCAACAAAG
This is a long non-coding RNA of Leucoraja erinaceus (little skate), 1443 nucleotides long. RefSeq lists it as uncharacterized. The transcript has 2 exons. The record is from RefSeq and is a predicted model, not a curated record. Lineage: Eukaryota; Metazoa; Chordata; Chondrichthyes; Rajiformes; Rajidae.